RNAcentral lists this transfer RNA (94 nucleotides) under Streptomyces rimosus subsp. rimosus. RNAcentral describes it as "tRNA-Trp". Lineage: Bacteria; Bacillati; Actinomycetota; Actinomycetes; Kitasatosporales; Streptomycetaceae. The record is from RNAcentral.
UGUGGUGGUGGCGGGGCCGGCGAGCGAGGUCUCCAGCGCCUCGUCGGGCUGCUCACCGCCAUCGGCCUGCGGCUCGGCGCCGCCGUCCCGCCCA